AGUGAACGCUGGCGGUAGGCCUAACACAUGCAAGUCGAACGGCAGCACAAGAGAGCUUGCUCUCUGGGUGGCGAGUGGCGCACGGGUGAGGAAUACAUCGGAAUCUACUCUGUCGUGGGGGAUAACGUAGGGAAACUUACGCUAAUACCGCAUACGACCUACGGGUGAAAGCAGGGGACCUUCGGGCCUUGCGCGAUUGAAUGAGCCGAUGUCGGAUUAGCUAGUUGGCGGGGUAAAGGCCCACCAAGGCGACGAUCCGUAGCUGGUCUGAGAGGAUGAUCAGCCACACUGGAACGGAGACACGGUCCAGACUCCUACGGGAGGCAGCAGUGGGGAAUAUUGGACAAUGGGCGCAAGCCUGAUUCAGCCAUACCGCGUGGGUGAAGAAGGCCUUCGGGUUGUAAAGCCCUUUUGUUGGGAAAGAAAUCCAGCUGGCUAAUACCCGGUUGGGAUGACGGUACCCAAAGAAUAAGCACCGGCUAACUUCGUGCCAGCCGCCGCGGUAA
RNAcentral lists this ribosomal RNA (506 nucleotides) under uncultured bacterium. RNAcentral describes it as "partial 16S ribosomal RNA". It matches the Rfam family "Bacterial small subunit ribosomal RNA", at positions 29 to 523 of the family's 1533-position model. The record is from RNAcentral.